This 253-nucleotide ribosomal RNA is filed under the name uncultured bacterium. RNAcentral describes it as "partial 16S ribosomal RNA". It matches the Rfam family "Bacterial small subunit ribosomal RNA", at positions 524 to 776 of the family's 1533-position model. The record is from RNAcentral.
GACGAGGGGUCCAAGCGUUGUUCGGAAUUACUGGGCGUAAAGCGUGCGCAGGCGGUUGUGCAAGACAGAUGUGAAAUCCCCGGGCUCAACCUGGGAACUGCAUUUGUGACUGCACGGCUGGAGUGCGGCAGAGGGGGAUGGAAUUCCGCGUGUAGCAGUGAAAUGCGUAGAUAUGCGGAGGAACACCGAUGGCGAAGGCAAUCCCCUGGGCCUGCACUGACGCUCAUGCACGAAAGCGUGGGGAGCAAACAGG